Molecule: long non-coding RNA, 2523 nt
Organism: Dicentrarchus labrax (European seabass)
Lineage: Eukaryota; Metazoa; Chordata; Actinopteri; Moronidae
Exons: 2
Source: RefSeq, a predicted model, not a curated record
AUUCUUAUAAGACACUUUUACGUUUUGAUGAAUAAUAAUUUACAUGAUAUCUUUUCUAUUCAUUCCCAUGACGCAUAUAUACAUACAUUUGCGUAAAUCCCAUCAACACAAAAUCAGAGGGGAAAACGUUGUUGUAAAUGCAGGACUUUACAAGACCUGCAGCUGUAAUUCAGUUACAAUUCGAAAUGUACAAGCAACAUUUUAUUCGAGAAUAUUUUUUAAAAUGUGAAUAAUUUAUUAUAUUGAGGGUUUAAAUUGUCAUUCAGAAAUAUGCAAAUAAUUUUGGAUUUAGGGAUUACUUUCCACUGAAGCUCAGGCAAAUUAAGAUAAAUACCCAGUGUCUUUUGAAAUGCAGAUAUUUCUCUUCUAUUUGAUUGGUGAACAUUUCACAGUGCACAUUCCCUGGCUCUCUGCUCUCUAAGGCCACCGUGGAGCUUGUUUUGGAGAGGCUGCAACCUGACUCUAAUGUGCUGUGAAUGAGAGACCUGAGCUCGGAUUAAGACCGCCGCGGCUGGCCUGGCCCCACAGCCGAUGUGCACAUGCUGAUCCGAGGGGCUCCUGAUGGCACAUGUGAAACACAACCUUAAAAUAUCACACACACUAAGACGGUUCAAGCACCAACUAACGCCCUAUGAGUGAAUCAAAACAGGGAAAAAAACAUCCAGUCUGUCCUUUCCACCGUCCUGCUUGCAGGCCAUUUUAUUUGGAUAAAUUGCAGGGACACAAACAACUCGAGUGUCUUUGCGACCACACGCUCCGCCUCUCAGUCAAUCCAGACAAAUUCUACGAGUUGUGCUGAAGCUUUUAAGCUGUAAUUGAGCACAGGAUGCCCAGGAAAACCAAAGCCAGCUCUGCACAGACCUGCGUUUUUAUAGCUGCUAUAGUAUUCUGCUGCGCUUUUUUUCUCUCCGGCCAGACAGACACCACAAAACUGACCAAGCGUGAUGGGAAGUCGCCACCUACACGGACUCAAAGUCAGCAGCUGAGGAUUUUCAACGACAUAGAAACAUAUCAUGUCCGUAAACAACUAAGGUGACAGAAAUGUGGGCCGACCGCGAUGGCGACGACAGAGGGGCCAGGCGGACCACACAGGGGCCAUGCAGGGAAACUGACCAACUCCACGGUCAACGGGAGAACCUCUGACUAAGCAGUGGAGACUCGGGAUUAGCCUGUAGAGGGUAUCCUGGGAAACAAGGCGUGAGCAGCAGCGGGCCUGGACAAAAGGAUAUAAACUGGACUUCAGUUGGGGGAAUAAAUGACACUUUACAAAGGCGGAAAAGAUAGAAGGGAAAAGACAGACUGAUAGAAAUAAGUCACAAUUUAGGUGAAGUGAUCAGAUUAAACAAGGAACUCAUAAUGUGCAAACAAGACUAUUGCGUCAGAAAAACCUGUCUUAAUUACGCACUUGCCAUUGCUGGCUUGUGGGAUUUUAGAACGAAAAAGAAAUUGUGAGGAUUAGAAUUUAAUUUCAGUCCUCCAAUUGUUUGCGUGUGCCCAAAAAUAACAUUUCUGAAACUUUUAAUAACAAAAAAAAGUCGAAUUGAGCCAUUGAAUCCUAAACCUUGUGUUAUUUAAAUGGGGUUUUCUCCCCUUGGUCCUUUGAUUUAAAAAAAGAAGUCUAUUCUCUAGAUGUUUGCUUCGUUUUCACUAUCUGUACUGAAUUUAAGAUGCACUUAAGAUGUGAUCUCCCACAACAAGAUACAUAGAAUAUUUAACAGUCCUAGGAGCUAAUUUUACAUUUCCAAAGAAAAUGUUAAGUCUAACUAAGGCAACGCAGUUAUUUUUUAUCCAAACACUGGAAAUUUAGAUGACAUUGCUUUUUUCCGAAUGUAAAUAUUUCGGUUAGCGGCAAUAGACACUGCAUAUAGUCUGCUUCAAAUAGGUACAGCAUUUAGAUCAAAUAUAUUCUGACUCAUGGUAAACAGGUUUAUUCGAUUGAACCACCAACUUCAACAAAAAUGUGUCCGCUAAAAUACAUUUCUCACUAUACAUUUUCUUAUAAUCACCUUUGCCUCGCAUUUUUCUAUCCAAGCUCAAAUUAACAGAUCUUAACUGAUCCAGGUACUUAUGGGCAUCAAAUGGCCAAAUACAAUAUCUACUAUCUCCUUAAAAAUCCCAGUGGAUUGUAGUUCAAUAAUUUAUUUAAAAGACCAAAAUAGGUGAGAUUAUUACCCUUUCAUUAGCACUUAUUCAGUUGUUUUUUUUAUUUUUUCAUAUCAGACUAUUGUCUGGAUAGGAUACGAAUAUGAAACAACUGCAGCGGUUUUUAAAACAGUCAAAGAAGCACAGAUUUCUAUAUUCCUCCAUAUCGCUUUGAUAGGGAAUCACAUGUUCAAGAAGACAAGCUUUAGUGUAUUCACCAAAGAUUUGCGGCACAAAUUGGCCUCAUAAUAUGUUGUGCAAGUUUAUGUUUAUUCAUUGACUACAAUAAACGUGAAACAUGUAUUUUGUGUUAUGAGAAAUUGAGUAAUCUGUGUUUAGGCAAAUAAAAAGCAGGCGACGCACAUGUUCUGCUUUCACUGA